CGACAUCUAUACCACUAAGAAAUCCACACAUUUCUCUGAUCCGCCUAAUUCUUGUUACACUUAACUUUGUUUCAUUAGAAACAAGAGCUGGAGCUUAAUCUGUCUCAACUUGUUUUUGAGAUGUCGUGGAUGCCUCAAUCCAUAGACAUUCCAACUUAGAAUUUUCAUUGCUCUCGAUCGGCCUGCUUAAUAGCGGUCAUCGAUAUUUCAGUAUAGAUUCCUGAAUCUAUCAAAUCCAUAUUAACAAAAAC
RNAcentral lists this long non-coding RNA (251 nucleotides) under Gossypium barbadense (sea-island cotton). Its description in RNAcentral is "long non-coding RNA (GBAR_LNC003378)". The record is from RNAcentral. Lineage: Eukaryota; Viridiplantae; Streptophyta; Magnoliopsida; Malvales; Malvaceae.